UCCGACGUAGCUCGAUGGCAGAGCGACCGCCUGUUAAGCGGAAGGUUGGGGGUUCGAGUCCCCCCGUCGGAGCCA
RNAcentral lists this transfer RNA (75 nucleotides) under Chondromyces crocatus. RNAcentral's name for it is "tRNA-Asn". It matches the Rfam family "tRNA". From Rfam's summary of the family: Transfer RNA (tRNA) molecules are approximately 80 nucleotides in length. Their secondary structure includes four short double-helical elements and three loops (D, anti-codon, and T loops). Lineage: Bacteria; Pseudomonadati; Myxococcota; Polyangiales; Polyangiaceae. The record is from RNAcentral.